Molecule: long non-coding RNA, 1125 nt
Organism: Aphidius gifuensis
Lineage: Eukaryota; Metazoa; Arthropoda; Insecta; Hymenoptera; Braconidae
Exons: 5
Source: RefSeq, a predicted model, not a curated record
AUGUACACCUCAUCAAUUCACAUCUAAUGCGAUGAGACAACGGAUAAAAUGUUGAAAAGUUUUACUUUUCUUUGAGGAUACAACAAGAAGGGUAUAUAUCUGAAAAGUUGUCUUUUUUUUUGCUGUUGGUGUAUCAUAAAAUAUAGAGAAGAAAGAAGACAAGAUAAGGGGGCACUAUUGCACGGUCGAUGAUCCUCCUGUGCCGAGAACAUCAGACGCACCAAGAUACUUGAGGAGAAGAAGAAAAAAAAAUAUAUAUAACCAAGGAAGAAGGAAACAUCGGAUGAACCCUUAAGAGUGUUGAUGUCAACCAAAAAAAAUUGAGAUACGGACGAGGUUCUACCGAGAUUUGAACUCGGAUCGCUGGAUUCAAAGUCCAGAGUGCUAACCAUUACACCAUAGAACCGCUGAUGAUCGACCGAAUUUUAAGAGGCUUUAAGAAGUCUGUUUUCUUUUAUGCAGUUUGAAAAUAAAACUUUGAGACUUUAAGGCUUUACCGGUGUCGGUACUGACCAAAAAAAUUAAGAAGCAGUCAAGGUUCUACCGAGAUUUGAACUCGGAUCGCUGGAUUCAAAGUCCAGAGUGCUAACCAUUACACCAUAGAACCGUUGAAUGUGUGUGUGACAGAUAAGUUGAAUCAUAUUGUUAUGCAUUCCCAUUCAUAAAGGUGUGCAUGGGAUAUCCCAGUGACCAGGGUGAAUUACGAGGCUGUGGACAGCGUGAUGCAUUGCUAGUGAACAUCGAAGGACCAGAUCCCAUGAGAAUCGAACAAAACUGGCUGGUGUUCUGUCCAAUUUCUAAUCUGAUUGCCGGAGUUUGGAUAUUUUGCAUCAAGUGCUUUAUUCAUUAUCAUUCAGCUGAAAUCCGGCCCGGAGAGAGGGACAAGGUGUGAAGCACGAUGAAGAAAAAAUGAUGUUGAUGAAGAAAAAUGAGAAAGUAGAAAAAAAAAAAAAAAAAUGAAUAAAUAAAAUGGACAACUGAAAAGGCUGAAUUACAAGCGCGGAAGCAUUUAGUUUCAUGAAUUCUUAUGAAACGAUUCAUCUUUUUUUUUUUUAUUUCUGCCAUGUGCAGAGUAAUAAAUCUAAAAACAAAAGUAUAUAGUUUCUUGGACACUUGUAAUGUAAA